GUAUUGAGUCCACCGACUCAAAUUCAGAUUCUCAAUUCUCUCUCUUUCAAUCCCUCGGUCCCUCUGGAGUCGCCCCUGUACUCCCGCCGUCCCUCGCCCGCCCGCCCCUCGCCCGCCCGACCCAGCGGCGCCCCUCGCCCGCCCGCCGUUCUCCUCGGCCGUCGCCAGUGGGAAGCUCGCUCCCAGUCCCACCGCGACCCUCGCCCAGUCGCUCCGCCUCCGAGCUCCGACGACAGGUGAGCGGCGCCCCUCGCCGCCCGUCAUCGCCCAGAGCCAAUCGCCAGUGAGCGGCGACCCAGCGGCGCCCCUCGCCGCCCGUCUUCUUCUUCUUCCUCUUCUUCUUCUUCUUCUUCUUCUUCUUCUUCUUCUUUUUUUUUAUUUUAAAUACAGAUCUGUAUGUCAGUAUGUGUUCUCGAAUUUGGUCUGAUUUGGUGUAUGAAUUUGGUCUGAUUUGGUGUAUGAAUUGGUCAUCGAAUUUGGUCAGCUUUUCUGUAUGAAUUUGGUCAUCGAAAUAUCCGAUUUGGACUUUUCUGUAUGAAUUUGGUCAUCGAAUUUACUGAAUUUCAAUUUGCUGCUGCUGCUGUAAAAACUAUCGGGUAUUUCGGGUACCCGAAUACCCGAAUCGGAUACCCGACUCGGGUAUUAGGGUACCCGAUUUCAGAAUCGGGUUCGGGAUCGGGUGGGGGUUUUGGUCAAUUUUCGGGUUCGGGUACCCGAUUUUUUCGGGUAGGGUACCCGAACCCGACCCGAUUCCCAGCCCUACCUACAACGCUUUCUCUUAGAUAAAUUAUGAAUUUCGAAAUCUGAAUUCGCGUGUAUGAGAGAGGCGAAUGUUUACAACAACGCAAGGAAGAAGAUGAAGAGAUUGCCCUAUUUUUUCAAUUUUUAUGGGCUUUCUAUUAGGCUUUAUUGCAACUAUUUUAUUUUGGGCUAUUUUUAUUUAUUUAAUUUCUUCAAUUUUUCAAAUUAUUUGAUCCAUUUUUGUUAUCUAAUUUUUAAUAUAUUUUUUAUUUUAAUUGUUGUAUUUUUAUGUUAAUUAAUUUAAUUUUUCAAUUAACUGUUGUAUUUUUAUUUUAAUUGUUGUAUUUUUCUUGCCAUGGAGCGAUUUGUCUUUUUAGUUGUCAUGCUUGGUUGUGUUUUGGUUUGUUGCUUCUUUGGCUUACUUUUCUAUCUUGUUGUGCCGUUGAAAGCUGGGAUUGUCUAAGGGCGAUUGUUUGGCCGGAGCUCUUGAGUGUAUCAUUUUCGCUUUCUCGGCAUUUAGUCUCUUGUUUUUUUUCUCUUCGUUAUUGACGAGCACUCUUUUUCCUCUUCUCGUUAUUUCCCUCGCGGGUUUUGCUUGAAUAGGUUUUAAAGAAACUCAGCCCUUAGUUUGCUUCUUCUGUAUUUUCAAUGGUUUAGGAUUUUUUCUCUUUUCUUUUAAUAAUAAACUCUAUUUAAUAUUACGUUCGUCCCACUUAAAUUGACACUUUUGAGUUGGGCACGGAGAUUAAAAAUAAAGGGUUAAGAGUGUAAAGUAGGUAGGGUCCACUUAUUUUAUGUGUGUAGAGAAUGUAUGGACCACAUACCAUUUUAGAGCAUUCACAAUGGUUACACGAUAGCCAUUACACGAUAGGGCUAUCGUGUAAAUGUGCUAUCGUGUAACCGUUGCGGGAGAGAUUUACACGAGGGCUACACGUUCUAUCGUGUAGCCCUUUAAACCGUUUGAAUUUUUNUUUUCAAUUUUUCUUCUCUUUAUAACUAAUUCUAUCAUGUAAGCUAUCAUGUAACCCCACUGCAGCAUCUUUACACCAUGUGGUCCCCCAUCAUAAAGUAGGCUAUCAUGUAACCCCAUUGCGGAUGCUCUUAGAAAAGUGUCAAUUCUAGUGGAACAAACAAAAAAGACAAGUGUGUCAAUUCUAGUGGGACGGAUGGAGUAUCACAUAAGAGAUAGUGUGAAUUUUAAGAAAAAAAAGUAAAUAAAGUGUUGAAUGGAAAUGAGUGGUUGUAGUUGAAUUGAUUGUGGAGUUAUGUAGAAAUGAGUGGUUGUGGUUAAAAGGAGAAAGUGUGGUCAAAUUCCAAAAUAGAAGUGAUACACUCUUAUGGCUCGGACGAAAAUGAAAAAUGUGAUACAGUCUUAUGGAACAGAGGGAAUAGUAUAUUAUACUUUACUUGAGCACCGGUACUUUAUGUGAGUAUCACUCACAUUUAACUUUUAUUAACUUUAUAUUUUUUAUUUUAUACAUUUGUUAUAUUCUAAACUAUAAAUUAUUAUUAAAAUUAUUUAUUUUAAAAAUUACAUAAAAGUUAAAAUUCGAUUUGUUCAUAAAUAUUUCCUUUCACUUUAAAUAUUUAAUAAAACGAGCAAAUGGAGCUUUAAUUUUUACAUGUAAAAAUGCAUCUAAGCAUAAAGUAAUUUUACUUUGUCAGAAAUCCGACGUCGACAUUAAAAUUUAGUUACAUUUGAGAGAGAAAAAUAAAAAAUUGAAAUAACGAAAUUUCUUUAACAUAAUAUUUAAAACAUAAAGCAUCAAAAUUUAGGGUAAGUUGAAUUGGUGGAAUUAAAAAGCGUAGGAAGUAAUACAAGAAUGUGAUGAAAAAUGCAUGUGUAUGAGAUUGAAAGUGGAAAGGGCAAAUAGGUAAAAUGAGAGCAACGACAAGUAAUGCUUUUUGGGUAGAAGAUUGGGCGGCGAGAAAAAGAUGAGGUUGGAAAAAGGCUCGUUUUGUCGUGUAGUGGGACUUGGUCGUAGCUCAGCAAGUGGUCCACAUCUCACCGAAAGCGACGCGUCACUGCUCAACUGCACACCGACGUGUCCUUCCGAUAAUAAUGCUCGUGAAUCCCCCACCUAUACGACAUCGUUUCCACUUCAGAUAUCGUCAACGCAUUGCAUCAUCAUGAAAUCUGCAUUUCGUCAUCCUCUUAUAACAAAAUUUUACUACUCACUCUUAACUUUUCACUCCGGGAACGACACGAGUUUUAACAAAAUAGUGAAUAAUAGUUAAUAAUAAUGAUAUUAAUAUAUUAUUGUGAGUGACGUUUGGGUCUCACUAUUGUUGUGAGUGAAAAUUUGUGGAUCCUACUGCUAUAAAUGUGAAUGGAAACAAUAUCUUCGAUGGAUCAAAAUGACAAAAGUGGAAACGAUAUCAUGGACGAAUGAAGUAUAUCAUUUCCUCCCCUAAAAGAGUAACAUUUGAGGGAUGAUAUGAAUUUAAGAAAUAUUUGGUAGAUAAUAUGUUGAGUGGAAAAAUAAUUUACUAUUAUUUAAAAAAAUGUGAUAAUAUGUGUUAGAUAAUGUAUGAGAUCAUAUUCCAAAAUAGAAAUGAUACUUUUUUAUUAGACAAACGAAAAUGAAAAAAAUGAUAUUUUCUCAUGGGACAAAGGGAAUACUUUUAUUUCCUUCAUUUUUACAUCAUUUUUGGUGGUACGAGAUUUAAUAAAUAUUACUUUAUUUGUCCCUCAAACAUCUUCCUAAGGGGGACGACACAAGUUUUAAUAAAAGUUUAUAUUUAAUGAGUGAAAAAAAGAUCCCACAAAUUAAAAAAAGUAAUGAAACUCUUUCACAUGCACAUAGAGCAUAUGUUAGGACCAAUGAAACCAUGACGUUUAAUAGAAUCAAAUGUAGGGAGACGCCUAAGGAUGAUCCGCCAACUAAUAAUAGAACAUCGAACUAGAAUAAAUAGGGCCUAGAUCUAUUUUCCCCAGUUAACCGACGAUUAUACAAGAGCCAAAUAAUCUCUAACAGAAGCUGAAGUGACUUCACCAAAAUUAGCGUGAAUUCAUGAGUGCUUGUAUGUCGUACCAAUAGCAGGGGUAGAGAUGAAAUCAAAAGCAACGUCCAAUAUUUCAAAAAUGAAGGGCUCUGUAAAGUGUCAUGCCUCCCCAUAAAAGCAGUACGAGACCUUUUGAUGAGAGAUGAAUGCAUAUAAGAGGGAAUAUGCAACCGAUUGCCAGCGAUAUCCAAGCCAGUUAUUAUCCAAUAAAAGAGAAUAAUACUACUAUCACCAAUAGAGCAAAAAGAGUCUGAAAAAAAAUAUUAGUAACAACAGACCUGACACCCAGCUAAACCGAGGAAGAGAAGCAGCGAGAAGCCGCAUCGAAGUAAUCCAUUAGGUAACGGUAGGGAAAGAGAAUAAAACCAAAUGAAUUGGAAGUGAUAAUGUUCCAACUUAAAUGGAGCAUAAGCUCUUUAUUGAUGAAAAAAACCCCCCCGAAGAACCAGGCCACCCUUAAACUUAGGGGCACAAACAUGAUUUCAAGCAAUAGAAGAAUGCGAGCGAAGAGGUGCAACCCGUCCAAAUAAAAUUGUGACAAACCCUAUCCAACAUGUGAAGAAGCUUCGCAGGCCAUUUGUAAAUAAACAUACUAUGAGUGACCACAAUAUGAAUAACCGAGGAAAAGAGAUAGAUACAAAAGUUGUUGACCUUGCCAAUGAAAAAAGUUAACAAUAAUCUUAUCUUUGAAAUGCAUAAGCCUGGCAGAGCUAGCUUUACUCGCAAAAAUAGGCACGCCAAUGUAAAUAAAGAGAGUAUAAUAGCAUAGAUAUCUAAAAUAGAAUCCAACAUCAAGCAAUUAUUUUUAGUCGCCCGACAUAAUAUCAGCACAUCAUCCACCUACAAUAGGUGCAAAGGAAAAUUAUAAGAUCUGGACAUACGCAUCGAAGUGAUAAAAUGCGCCUCCAUAGCAAAUACAAUAAUAUACUAAUGACAACUUCUACAAUUCCAAAGAAAAUGUGAUACAGAGGGUCCCUCUGUUGAACUCCCCGACUGCAAGAGAAAUAACCAUGAAGCGAGCCAUUAAACAUAAUAGAAAUAUGAGAGCCAAAAUGAUUUGGAUCCAAGUACAGAAAUGAGGUGGGAAACCAACGGCAUAAAGCACAACAUUCACAAACAACAAUCGAAAGGUAUCAAAGGCUUUUUAAAUAUGGACCUUAAUCGCCAUAUUCCUGCCCUCAAGUGAACAUUCCAUGCAAUUUACACUUUACUGCCAGGAAUAGAAUUAAAUUGGUUAAGGGUAACAAUAACUGCAGCAAUGGAAUUAAGACGAGACACCAAAAUUUUAGUGAUGACUUUGAAUAAAAUUCCCAAAACAAUAGGGCGAAAAUAAAAAAUUAGGUUGCGCUAGGCUUCUUGGGUAUUAGACUAAGGAUAUUAGCAUUCAACCCUUGAGAAAAAUAAGUGUGCGAAAAAAAGCAUUGGACCGCCACCACAAUAUCAGUAGUGAUAAUAUUCUAGGUUGCAUGGAAAAAAUGAUCCAUUAUAACCAUUGGACCAGGAGCACUGUUACGAUCCAUAGAGAAAAUCGUGGCUUGGAUUUUCUCUAUAUCCAAAAACUUGAGCAACAUAGCAGAAUGAGGCUCCGUAACAAAGGCAUGAUAUUAUUAUCAAUCCAAGAAUCAUCCACACCCGCCGAGGGCUAUUUAGAGAAAAGAGAUUGAUAAAAAUCCAAAACGUGGUUGGCUAUAGUUGUAUUAUCAGAAACUAAAACCUCAUCAAUAAGCAAAUGGUUGAUAUAUUGCCGAGAACGGCGAAGUUUAACCAUAUUAUGGAAAAAACUAGUAUUUUUAUCACAAUCUUGAAGCCAUUUGAUAUGAUUUUGUUGUUUCAAAAUCGAGGAUUGACGUGUAAGCAUAACACUCAUCUUAGCCUGAAUCUUAAUCUCUUGAUCCAAAGAUCAUUAGUAUACCCGACACUAUCAUUAUGCCAUUGAAGAUCGCCCAGUUUAUCUUGCAAAUCAGUAAUGGUUUUGUUGAAGUUUCCAAAGACGUCUUUGUUUUUGUACAUAACACGGACAACAGGACAUAGAGUGGCGCAUGGCAUAUGCUAGGAGUCACCAAACUAAUUAAAGAAAUCCCUCAUGAGUGAGUUGUAUAUUCAGAAAACGAAAGGACUUGUUAGGCGCCGAGGAAGAAUGAUGACACUGUAGAAG
This 5902-nucleotide long non-coding RNA is filed under the name Salvia miltiorrhiza (redroot sage). Its description in RNAcentral is "long non-coding RNA (SMIL_LNC010458)". Lineage: Eukaryota; Viridiplantae; Streptophyta; Magnoliopsida; Lamiales; Lamiaceae. The record is from RNAcentral.